GGCAUCAAGACAAUUAAAUAUUCUAAAACGUAUGGGUAAAUAUGUAAACAGGCUAGGUAGGUUAACAGCACACUACUCAUUCAUACUUUCGAACUUUAACUAUUGUCCAGUAAUUUGGCACUACUGUAGUGAAAAAAAUUCUUUUAAAAUGGAAAAAAUUCAAGAAAGAGCUCUAAGAUUCAUUUAUGAAGAUUAUGAUAUUCCUUACGAAAAAUUGCUAGAAAAAUCUAAAUUACCAUCUUUAAAAAUAAGAAGAAUAAAAACAAUUUUUUUUUAAAAACAGUUGUUGGCAUGACACGGGUUAUGUUCUUCUCAUAUAUGUUAUGAUGGUAUGAUACUAAACCCCUAACGGGAAGGAUUGUGCCUGAUGUUCAUAUGAUGAAAUCAUAAUCUUUCAGUCAGUUUAAUUGAAGUCUGGAGCUGGCAUGUCAGUCAACUGCUAGUAGUCUGUUGUUAUUUAUGUAUUUUUGUCAUUUUGUUUAUUUUCUUUGGUUACAUCUUCUGACAUCAGACUCGGAUUUCUCUUGAACUGAAUUUUAAUGUGCGUAUUGUUAUGCGUUUACUUUACUACAUUGGUUAGAGGUAUAGGGGGAGGGUUGAGAUCUCACAAACAUGUUUAACCCCGCCGCAUUUUUGCGCCUGUCCCAAGUCAGGAGCCUCUGGCCUUUGUUAGUCUUGUAUUAUUUUAAUUUUAGUUUCUUGUGUACAAUUUUGAAAUUAGUAUGGCGUUCAUUAUCACUGGACUAGUAUAUAUUUGUUUAGGGGCCAGCUGAAGGACGCCUCCGGGUGCGGGAAUUUCUCGCUACAUUGAAGACCUGUUGGUGACCCUCUGCUGUUGUUUUUUAUUUGGUCGGGUUGUUGUCUCUUUGACACAUUCCCCAUUUCCAUUCUCAAUUUUAAUUGCAAUAGAAACAUUUAAUUUUUUGAUUUGAUUGAUAUAAAAAUUAACAAGUAUGAUUUAAGAUCACAGGAAACAGCAGUACUCCCAAGAGUUCGAACUACUAAAUAUGGCUUAAGAUCGUUUCGCUAUAAUGCUGCACAAAUCUGGAAUGAGCUACCGAACCAUUGUCGAGUGGAAACAUCUUUUGACCAAUUCCAAAAAUUGGUACCAACAUGGGAUCCAAGU
This 1126-nucleotide long non-coding RNA is filed under the name Mytilus galloprovincialis (Mediterranean mussel). Lineage: Eukaryota; Metazoa; Mollusca; Bivalvia; Mytilida; Mytilidae. The record is from RNAcentral.